This 465-nucleotide ribosomal RNA is filed under the name uncultured bacterium. RNAcentral's name for it is "partial 16S ribosomal RNA". It matches the Rfam family "Bacterial small subunit ribosomal RNA", at positions 338 to 795 of the family's 1533-position model. The record is from RNAcentral.
CCUACGGGAGACAGCAGUGGGGAAUAUUGCGCAAUGGGCGAAAGCCUGACGCAGCGACGCCGCGUGAGGGAUGAAGGGCUUCGGAUCGUAAACCUCUGUCAGCAGGGAAGAACGGGCACUGUGCUAAUCAGGAGUGAAUUGACGGCAACUGCAAAGGAAGCACCGGCUAACGCCGUGACAGCAGCCGAUGUAAUACGGAGGGUGCGAGCGUUAUUCGGAAUUACUGGGCGGAAAGCGCUCGUAGGCGGUAUGUCAAGUCAAGGGUGAAAUCCCCGCGCUCAACGUGGGAACUGCCUUUGAAACUGGCAAACUGGAGUGUGUGAGGGGAUAGUGGAAUUCCAGGUGUAGGAGUGAAAUCCGUAGAUAUCUGGAGGAACAUCAGUGGCGAAGGCGACUAUCUGGCACGUAACUGACGCUGAGGACCGAAAGCGUGGGUAGCAAACAGGAUUAGAUACCCCUGUAGUC